RNAcentral lists this ribosomal RNA (643 nucleotides) under uncultured bacterium. Its description in RNAcentral is "bacterial SSU rRNA". It matches the Rfam family "Bacterial small subunit ribosomal RNA", at positions 202 to 842 of the family's 1533-position model. The record is from RNAcentral.
CAAAGGAGUGAUCCGGCAGAGGAUGGACAUGCGGCGCAUUAGCUAGUCGGCGGGGUAACGGCCCACCGAGGCUACGAUGCGUAGGGGUUCUGAGAGGAAGGUCCCCCACACUGGUACUGAGACACGGACCAGACUCCUACGGGAGGCAGCAGUGAGGAAUAUUGGUCAAUGGGCGGAAGCCUGAACCAGCCAAGUCGCGUGAGGGAAGACGGUCCUAUGGAUUGUAAACCUCUUUUGCAGGGGAGCAAGGCGCGGUACGUGUACCGCGAAGGAGAGUACCCUGAGAAAAAGCAUCGGCUAACUCCGUGCCAGCAGCCGCGGUAAUACGGAGGAUGCGAGCGUUAUCCGGAUUUAUUGGGUUUAAAGGGUGCGCAGGCGGACUGUUAAGUCAGCGGUAAAAUGUCGGUGCUCAACACCGGCCGGCCGUUGAAACUGGCAGCCUUGAGCGAGCGAGAAGUAUGCGGAAUGCGUGGUGUAGCGGUGAAAUGCAUAGAUAUCACGCAGAACUCCGAUUGCGAAGGCAGCAUACCGGCGCUCAACUGACGCUCAGGCACGAAAGCGUGGGUAUCGAACAGGCUUAGAUACCCUGGUAGUCCACGCAGUAAACGAUGAAUGCUCACUGUCCGGGCCGUUUAAGGCCUGG